RNAcentral lists this ribosomal RNA (662 nucleotides) under Chalcorana mocquardi. RNAcentral's name for it is "Hylarana mocquardi partial 16S ribosomal RNA". The stretch from base 1 to 491 matches the Rfam family "Bacterial large subunit ribosomal RNA", at positions 583 to 1301 of the family's 2925-position model. The record is from RNAcentral. Lineage: Eukaryota; Metazoa; Chordata; Amphibia; Anura; Ranidae.
UAAGCUAAAAAUAGCAGAGACACCCCCUCGUACCUUUUGUAUCAUGGUCUAGCCAGUUUAACCAAGCAAAAAGAAACUUUAAGUUUGACCCCCCGAAACUAAACGAGCUACUUCAAAACAGCCCCAAGAGCCAACCCGUCUCUGUUGCAAAAGAGUGGGAAGAUUUUCAAGUAGAGGUAAUAUGCCUACCGAGUUUAGAGAUAGCUGGUUGUUCAGGAAAAGAGUUUUAGCUCUACCUUAAGUUUUCUAAUUUUUCCUAUAACCACAUUAAACUUAAGAGCUAUUCAAAUAAGGCACAGCUUAUUUGAAACAGGAUACAACCUCACACACAGGGUAAAAGUGGACGAUUAAAACAAAGUGGGCCUAAAAGCAGCCACCUUUAAGAAAGCGUUACAGCUCUACCUUAUCCAACCUAUAAUCAUCUUAAUCCCCUCCAACCCUUCACCUCUACUGAACAAUUUUAUACCCCCUAUAAAAAAUAUUAUGCUAGAACUAGUAACAAGAACCUGCCCUUCUCCUAAAUAUAAGAAUAAGCCAAAACGGACACCCCACUGGCAAUUAACGUUAAUGAAUUUACUAUAACAACCCCGACCAGAAAAUCUUAUACUUACCAACGUUAACCUUACACCAGAAUAUAAAGGAAAGAUCAAAGAAAGAGAUGA